RNAcentral lists this ribosomal RNA (584 nucleotides) under uncultured bacterium. Its description in RNAcentral is "bacterial SSU rRNA". It matches the Rfam family "Bacterial small subunit ribosomal RNA", at positions 337 to 911 of the family's 1533-position model. The record is from RNAcentral.
UCCUACGGGAGGCAGCAGUAGGGAAUCUUCCGCAAUGGACGAAAGUCUGACGGAGCAACGCCGCGUGAGUGAUGAAGGCUUUCGGGUCGUAAAACUCUGUUGUUAGGGAAGAACAAGUGCUAGUUGAAUAAGCUGGCACCUUGACGGUACCUAACCAGAAAGCCACGGCUAACUACGUGCCAGCAGCCGCGGUAAUACGUAGGUGGCAAGCGUUAUCCGGAAUUAUUGGGCGUAAAGCGCGCGCAGGUGGUUUCUUAAGUCUGAUGUGAAAGCCCACGGCUCAACCGUGGAGGGUCAUUGGAAACUGGGAGACUUGAGUGCAGAAGAGGAAAGUGGAAUUCCAUGUGUAGCGGUGAAAUGCGUAGAGAUAUGGAGGAACACCAGUGGCGAAGGCGACUUUCUGGUCUGUAACUGACACUGAGGCGCGAAAGCGUGGGGAGCAAACAGGAUUAGAUACCCUGGUAGUCCACGCCGUAAACGAUGAGUGCUAAGUGUUAGAGGGUUUCCGCCCUUUAGUGCUGAAGUUAACGCAUUAAGCACUCCGCCUGGGGAGUACGGCCGCAAGGCUGAAACUCAAAGGAAUU